Non-coding RNA from Pteropus alecto (black flying fox), 119 nucleotides. Lineage: Eukaryota; Metazoa; Chordata; Mammalia; Chiroptera; Pteropodidae. The record is from Rfam.
GUCUAUGGCCAUGCCACCCUGAACAAGCCCGAUCCCAUCUGAUCUUGGAAGCUAAGCAGGGUCGGGCCUGGUUAGUAUUUGGAUGGGAGACCACCUAAAAUGACCAGGUGCUGUAGGCA